This 739-nucleotide ribosomal RNA is filed under the name Moraxella sp. 4. RNAcentral describes it as "bacterial SSU rRNA". It matches the Rfam family "Bacterial small subunit ribosomal RNA", at positions 378 to 1109 of the family's 1533-position model. Lineage: Bacteria; Pseudomonadati; Pseudomonadota; Gammaproteobacteria; Moraxellales; Moraxellaceae. The record is from RNAcentral.
GAAGCCUGAUCCAGCCAUGCCGCGUGUGUGAAGAAGGCCUUUUGGUUGUAAAGCACUUUAAGUGGGGAGGAAAAGCUAAUAAUUAAUACCUAUUAGCCCUGACGUUACCCACAGAAUAAGCACCGGCUAACUCUGUGCCAGCAGCCGCGGUAAUACAGAGGGUGCAAGCGUUAAUCGGAAUUACUGGGCGUAAAGCGAGCGUAGGUGGUUACUUAAGUCAGAUGUGAAAGCCCCGGGCUUAACCUGGGAACUGCAUCUGAUACUGGGUAACUAGAGUAGGUGAGAGGGAAGUAGAAUUCCAGGUGUAGCGGUGAAAUGCGUAGAGAUCUGGAGGAAUACCGAUGGCGAAGGCAGCUUCCUGGCAUCAUACUGACACUGAGGUUCGAAAGCGUGGGUAGCAAACAGGAUUAGAUACCCUGGUAGUCCACGCCGUAAACGAUGUCUACCAGUCGUUGGGUCUUUUAAAGACUUAGUGACGCAGUUAACGCAAUAAGUAGACCGCCUGGGGAGUACGGCCGCAAGGUUAAAACUCAAAUGAAUUGACGGGGGCCCGCACAAGCGGUGGAGCAUGUGGUUUAAUUCGAUGCAACGCGAAGAACCUUACCUGGUCUUGACAUAGUAGGAAUCCUGCAGAGAUGCGGGAGUGCCUUCGGGAAUCUACAUACAGGUGCUGCAUGGCUGUCGUCAGCUCGUGGCGUGAGAUGUUGGGUUAAGUCCCGCAACGAGCGCAACCCUUUUC